This is a long non-coding RNA of Penaeus monodon (black tiger shrimp), 709 nucleotides long. RefSeq lists it as uncharacterized. The record is from RefSeq and is a predicted model, not a curated record. The transcript has 4 exons. NCBI's taxonomy places the organism in Eukaryota, Metazoa, Arthropoda, Malacostraca, Decapoda, Penaeidae.
CGUUUUGGUUGACAUAAAACAGAAGAAAUGUAGAUUCAGCUCGAAAUCUCCUCACGUAAUGGCUUUCGUCUGAUCUUUAAUUCCUAACUCUUAUUGGAUUAGAAUCUUAAUUCUUUCAUAAGAUUAAUCUCAUAUGACUCCGAUGAUUGAUUCCCUCUCGAAAUUAAAAAUUUUUGACAGGUGAUCUAAUAAUCUUUCUUCAUAACCUCGCCUUGCACAAGACGCUGAAAUCCAUUUUUUUUUAAUAUCUUUUAAUAUUCACCUUUUUUUUUUAUCCAUCCUCCAGGUUGACGCAGCACACUCUGGCAACGUGUCGACUGUUCUGGGCAAGACAGCUUCCCUCAGGUGUCGUGUCCUCGACCGUGGGAACUAUACAGUGUCAUGGAUCAGGCAUAGGGACCUACACCUCUUAACUGUCGACCAGUAUACUUACACGUCAGACCAGCGAUUCCAGGCGAUGUACGAGCCUUCGACGGGCGACUGGAUCCUGCUGGUGGCGUCGGUGCAGCUGCGGGACCGGGGCGUGUACGAGUGCCAGAUCGGAACCACGCCACCGCGCAGCCACUUCGUCACUCUCCAUAUUAUCGAGCCCCGCACGGAGAUCCUCGGUGGCGGCGACCUGCACAUCAACACGGGCUCCACCAUCAACCUGACUUGCCUGGUCCUCUAUCACGCUCGCUCUCCGCACGCUCUCACCUGGCUGCACGAG